RNAcentral lists this long non-coding RNA (2054 nucleotides) under Equus caballus (horse). RNAcentral's name for it is "lncRNA (ENSECAG00000044164.1)". The record is from RNAcentral. Lineage: Eukaryota; Metazoa; Chordata; Mammalia; Perissodactyla; Equidae.
CUUCAUUUUGUUUCUGGCCUAAGAGCUCCUAAAGCUCUUGUAAUUUCCCAUAUUAGAGCCAACGUGGCAUCUUUUGUUAUAAUAAUUACUUUAGUCCUCAGUUCCUGAAAUAAGUCCAGAGCCAUAAAGGUGAAAUGAGCGUAUUUUGUUAUUCCUAACAGGGCCCUUUCAACCACACCUGAAUUUACAUUAACAAGGUGACAUUUGGAAAGCCCCUGAGAGUAGGGGCUGGUUGCCAGGGAAACCAAUUGUGUGAUUUGGGGUUUGGAACUUUCAGCCCCAUCCCUCUCCCUAUACCUCCAGGGUGGGGAAAGAGGCUGAAGAUUGAGUUCGAUUGCCAUUGGCAAAUGAUCCAAUCAACUGUGCCUAUGGGGUGGUGUCUCCACUAAAACCCAAAAGGACGGUGUUCAGAGAGCUUCUGGGUUGGUGAACACAUAGAGAUUGGGGGAGAGUCCCCAAGAGGGUGUAGGAGCUCAGCGUCCCUUCCCCACAUAUUUUGCCUAUGCAUCUCUUCCAUCUGGCUGUUAGGUAAAAUGUUUAUCUGAGUCUGUGAGCCACUCUAUCAAAUUAAUCAACCCCAAGGAGGGGGUUGUGGGAACCUCUGGUCUGCGGUUGGUUGGUCAGAAGCACAGGUGACAACCUGAACUUGCAAUUGGCAUCUAAAAUAGAAGGCGAAGGGUAAUCCUGUGGGACUGGACCCUUAACCUGUGGGGUCUGAUUCUACCCCCAGGUAGCUAGUGUCAGAAUUGAGUUAAAUAUGUUAAACUUCUUAGCCAGUAAGGGAUAUAAAGUGUCUAAAGGAAAGGCACAAAUAUAUAAAGAGAAUGUAAAGUAUUUGGGGUUCAUCAUUUCAAGGGGACAACACAGCCUUCCCCAAGAGAGGAAAAUGGUAAUAUGCCAACUUGUUCCACUGAAAACUCAUAGGCAGCUACGAGAAUCCUUGGGGAUGGCUGGCUUUUGCUGCAUUUGGAUCCCUACCUUUGGAUUGAUUUCUAAGCCUCUCUAUAAUAAACUACAGGGGCCAGAAACAGAUCCCUUUAAAUGGGAUAAGUUAGACACCAUGGUGAUAGGAUGACCCCCAUGCUUGAACGCUGUAGCUGCCACCUGCCUCUUAAUCAAGACAGCAGAAAAACUGGCUAUGGGCCAAACUAUUGAUGGUGUGGACCCCCUAUCAAGUCUCUAGCUUUCUAGAGGCUAAAGGACAUCUAUGGCUAUCUGAGGAUAGAAUACUACAAUACCAAGCUAUGCUGCUAGAUUCCCCUUAGAUUUCUUUAAAACCCUAUUGAUGCGGGCUCGGUGAGCCGAGGAGUUGAAAGAAAGAUUUCUUGGACUCUCAAGGUCUGGCAGUAGUGUUCUUUUAUUCAGAGAAGAUCAUGGAGUAGCAUGGGGACAGGACCCAUAGGCAGUAAGAGCUGCAGGCAUGGGGACAGGACCCAUGGGCAGUGAAGAGCUGCAGGCAUGGGGACAGGACCCAUGGGCAGUUAAGAGCUGCAGGCAUGGGGACAGGACCCAUGGGCAGUAAGAGCUACAAUGUGUUGAGGGUAGGGCUAAAUUUAAGGCAUAGGUAUGUGAGUUUUGUCUUUACAAGACAAAGGAAAGAUCAUGAAAAAAGUUGUUAAAAUGGUAUCAGUGCAGGUGAGGUCUGGUUAUUGGGUGGUCCUAUAACUUUAGAUAAGAAUCAGAUUGGAUUAAGUCAGGAUGUCCUAUGCUUCCUGGAGGAAGAUAUAGAUCAGUAUGUAGGGCGGGACACCUUGGGCUUCUCACUGGGGCAGCCUUCAUCCUCAUCACGUAUCAUACCUUAAAACCAGCUACCCCGCUCCCUGAUUCCAAUGGGCCUAUUACCCAUACUUGCCCAGAAGUGAUGGAUCACGUUUACUCUAGCCACAGAGAUCCCCAGAGGAAACCACAGAAAUUAAACAUGGGCCAGAGAUCCUUAAACUGCUAGAAGAGUUAGAAGGAGUCAUCCCUUGGAUCCACCACACAGAGUAAAAAAGGCGCCCAUGCCUGAACAUCAAGAGAGAUCGUCACAGACAAUUGAUGACUCUGAGUUUUCC